CGCUCUUCGCUAAAGAUUCUGGUGUAUGAGGAGUCCUGCCUGCCCGGUGACUUUAGAGUUAAACGGCCGCGGUAUUUUGACCGUGCGAAGGUAGCAUAAUCAUUUGCCUUUUAAAUAGAGGCUGGUAUGAAUGGCAAGACGGAGGUUUGACUGUCUCUUUUUUAGGAAUGUUGAAUUUUAUUUUUUUGUGAAGAAGCGGAAAUAGAAUCGUAGGACGAGAAGACCCUGUCGAGCUUGAAUAAGAAUAGUUGAGUAUUGGAGGUAUUCUUAUGCUAAUUUGUUCUUGGUAAGGAUUAAGGAAAUUUACAUUAGGUAUAAUAAUACUGUGCUGUUUUUUAUUUUGAUUGGGGCAAUCGCGGAGAAGAUGUAACCUCCGUUAUAAUUUAGUAUUUAAAGUAACAUCUUUUAUAGUAUAAGAAUGUGUAUUUAUGGAUCCACUUGUAAGUGAUUAAAGGAAUAAGUUACCGCAGGGAUAACAGCGUAAUUUUUUUGGAGAGUUCAUAUUGAUAAGAAAGUUUGCGACCUCGAUGUUGGAUCGGGAUUUCCAGGAGAUGCAGCAGUUUCCAAGGGUUGGUCUGUUCGACCAUUAAAAUCCU
Molecule: ribosomal RNA, 596 nt
Filed under: Calliaster elegans
Lineage: Eukaryota; Metazoa; Echinodermata; Asteroidea; Valvatida; Goniasteridae
Description: partial 16S ribosomal RNA
Rfam family: Bacterial large subunit ribosomal RNA
Source: RNAcentral